Danio rerio (zebrafish) is the source of this 117-nucleotide non-coding RNA. The record is from Rfam. NCBI's taxonomy places the organism in Eukaryota, Metazoa, Chordata, Actinopteri, Cypriniformes, Danionidae.
ACUGACAGCCAUAUCACCCUGCAGCCCAAGACCAGUUAAUCACUGAAGCUGAGCAGGGCUGAGCCUGGUCAGUACCUGGAUGGGAGACCACAUGGGAAAACUAGGUUGCUGUUGGAA